RNAcentral lists this ribosomal RNA (253 nucleotides) under uncultured bacterium. Its description in RNAcentral is "partial 16S ribosomal RNA". It matches the Rfam family "Bacterial small subunit ribosomal RNA", at positions 524 to 776 of the family's 1533-position model. The record is from RNAcentral.
UACGUAGGGUCCAGGCGUUAAUCGGAAUUACUGGGCGUAAAGCGUGCGCAGGCGGUUUUAUAAGCCAGAUGUGAAAUCCCCGGGCUUAACCUGGGAAUGGCAUUUGGGACUGUAAGGCUAGAGUACGGCAGAGGAGACUAGAAUUCCUGGUGUAGCAGUGAAAUGCGUAGAUAUCAGGAGGAAUACCGAUGGCGAAGGCAGGUCUCUGGGUCGAUACUGACGCUCAUGCACGAAAGCGUGGGGAGCAAACAGG